UGCGCACUGCACUCGUAGUACACGCUCCGACCGGAUGAUCUUUGAAGCUCAUCUACAGCUCUAGCUUUGACUCACACACGUGAAUACGAGCUGCGCUAGUCUGCCGCCUAAUUCCCCCGGUCCGGUGCGUGCAACUAGCUGUGAUGUUCGAUGCCCGAUCGGGUUUUCAGGCAGAGCUUGUGUCGAAUUCUAAGGACUGUUACGUGUAACAUUUCGUGCGAGAUUGGGAUUUGAGGACGCUCUGAAUAUAGAGCAGCGAAGUUCCUUCUCCUCUGACGUUGUGGAAAAACAUAGGCAGCCAUCAUGAUCAUCUCAAGAAUUCCUGGGAGACUCUUCCCCAGUAGAUUUCUCCAGGUGAGCAACACAGCACCCCGCAAUGAACGUAUCCCAGCCCCUAGGUCAGCUCUGUUCAUCCUGUGCUUAGGGGUGUGUCUGUCCAUGUUCAGUGCUCAUCGGCUUCACACGACAUGCUCAAUCAAACAUGUGAAAGACAAGUAGACUCAUCGUGAUAUACAUGUACAGAACAGAGACUUUAAAAAGAACAUGAAGAUAGAGACAUGCUCAUGUAUUAAACAGAACCUGCUGGACAGGCCUGUAUGAGGGCCUGGCGUUUGCUAAUGGGAAGUGCAUAAGACAGCAAUCACAUGAAGAAGCCCUACCCGCAAUGGAAUGGCGUACGUACAGGGAAAUGGAAUAUGUGGACAAUACCCCAAGGAAUAGUUGAUAUCUUCAACAUCAGUGGAUACCAUCGAUCCGUGACUGUUGAUAAAACUUGACAGGGAACAUCUGCAAUCAAGUGCCUAGUAUGAGAGUAUACACUGUCAAGCUUCUCCAGAGGUAUCAUCCAUUAUAAGAACUAUGAGAACGUACUAUGAGAAAGAAAGGGCAAAGUUUAAAACUUCAACAGGAAAUAGGCAUGAUGUUUAUUAGACUUUUAAUGCAAUAUCUGAGAUCAUCAUCAAAGUUUUAGGUUAUCAACGACAAUACAUUAUAUAUAAAGCUUCUUCUAAGCCCAUAGACACCUGAAUUAUUUUAUUUCCAUCAGCUUGAAUACUUAUACAGGAGCCACCUGGCUCAUGUAGGCAAUGGGUUAAGUGGAUUAAUCCCUAUGGUAGUUAAGAUAUGAAUUCAAAAUUAUUUUCCUUUGGCUGUCUGUCCUCAAUUUUUAACGCAUUGGAAUUAAAAGAAAUUGAAAUUUUGCACCAGUCAACUUCGACCAUAGGGCCUACAUUUAGGUGUGAAUUCUAUCUUUCAACUUGAUCAGGUUUGAUGAGUAAGUACCUUCCUAUUGUAAUAUAUUACAAAAGAAAUAGGUGAAUGUUUGGCUGUUGUUCAUGCCGACAUCACUACAUGUAUUCCUUUUUAUUGAUUAUAUGGACAAUUGGGCAAUUUUCCAUUUUGUCAUUGAGUAAAUUGGGAGUUGCCACAGUCUAGAGAAUGCAAAUGUAGUUUAUAGCUAACCUGCCCACAUGUGUGUGACAUUAUCGAAAUGAAGUGUACAUUCAUGCUGUAAAUAAUAGAGUUUAUGACUAGCACACGUACAUGAUUUAUAACAUUGCUCUUUGCCUGCUACAGUAAAGGAUGAAAUGCAUAUAACUGUAGAUCCAUAAACAUCAGUUUUAUCUCCUUUGAACUUUUCCACCUGAUAUAUAGUGGUGUUCCCAUGAAUUUGGAAAUGCUUGUAACUUUUUAUUGAGACCUAGAUUUAUGGGGGGGGGGGGGGGGGUUAUACAUGUAUUAUUUGUUCAGCAAGUACAUGUGCUUGUACACCUGUAUGUGCCAUUGAAACCAGUCAUAUUCUCUAAUUCUUCUGUACAUGUAGUAAAAGCUACAUGCUUGUUUAAAUAGCAUGGCACUGUUGUAGAUUUAUCCUUAAGUUUGCAAACACAUGAAGUUCUAAUUCACAACCUUCAAAUAACAAUGUGGGUUCACAUGGCACUACAAAAAUGAAUGCUUGAGGUUUUUAUCUACAAGCCAAGAUAAUUAUUGUGGAACACCUUCAAGUUACCGGUAAUUGUGUUUGCACAACACAUACAUUUGGAAAUCCAAGUGAGGACUCCAACAACUUGCAGUCAUUACGGUAACCUGGAGAUCACUGGUGGUUUGAAACUGAGUAAACCUUGUGUUUCUUAAAUGGUCUGCACUCUGCUCAACUACAACUUACAAGAUAAUCUUGAAGUUUAGAACCUCGAGCCAAACUUCAGUCUAUGCCCUGUUGCGUAUACCUAGCUGAUGUGUGAAAGUAACAGUAGGGAUUCCCUGGUCACAAUGUCUGAUUGCAUUCAGCCUUUGACCUUUAAAGAGCAAUAUUUGAUUGAUGGUCUCAAACAUGUGCUGGAUGAAAAGUGAAUUUAUAGGUCACAACCUUUAUUACUUAACAUAUCUUCAGUACAUUGAAAGGUAUACGGUGGUGAUGAAGAGAGUUAUGUAAAUGGUGUAGUCUUGAGCAAUGUUCUCACAUGAGGGGAUAAACUGCUAGGGCCAAAAUUGAAAUAAUGAGUAAUGUAUAGUGAUCAUGACAACUGGUAUGGCAGUAACCAGAAACUUCCGCAUUCACGAUCGACACAACAAUCGAUACUUGCAAUUUGCGAAGGUUUCUUUUUUUGCUAUGAAAAUGGCCUUCCUUUACAACUUGAGAGUGUUGCUGGUCUAUACUCUAUAGUACCCGGUACUCUAACACACAGAUCAGUUAAUACUUGUUGGGGCUAGUGCAUCCUCUAUUUCUUGUUCACCCUCACAACAUUGCUUUGUUACCACACAUCUACACAUUUGUGUGUGUAUUUUUGCCAUUGCAGUUGUUUUAGUUCCUCUAAUUCCUUUUUGAAUGAUUUACUGCCUCAUGUGAGAACAUUGCUCCAGAUCUGCUUUAUUGAUAGAUGAUAAGGUGCAUAUAUUUGAAUGUAAAGCUCAUAGAAGGGUGAUUAAUGUUUGAAAAAAGAUAAGUGAACAUGUAAAUGUGCAGUAAGCCAAAUUGAAAUGCCAACAUAAGUCUUUUCACAACAGAUGUACUUAUUACCCCUCUGAUAGACUGAUACUAAUUGUCUAUUGUGAAGACUGUACAAUGUGAGUGUGUAUUGAUAGUUGAUACUGUACUGUUUGAUAAAACAAAUUCAAUGCAAAUCAAUUUAUUUCAAUAACAUUAACAUGAAAAAUCAUUAUGAAAUGGGGAAAUAUAUUCAUGUACAAUGGUCAUAAAUGAUGCAGAAAAGGAAACUAGCAAGAAAGGAGAGAUGUAUUUGGGAAGGUCCUACCUUUGUUAUUGGUUCAGGAAUUACAUGUACUUCAGUUAUUCAUAAAUAUAUUACAUUUGUUUCAGUAAUGAGUAUCUAUUUGAAUAAAAGCUUAGUGAUGUCAUGUAACAGAAGUAACGGAAGGUGCCUAUGUUUCUUAUUCUCUAUUUAAAAAAAUGUUUAUAUUCGCACGUCUCAACAUACGUGAAAUAAAUUGCUAAUACAUUGCUAUAAAUAUGUUCAAUACUUUGAUAAAAUCUGAUUUAGAUGUAAAGAAAAUGCUAAUUUGCUGUUGGUUAGCAGUAAUGUAACACAUUUGAAGAAAGAAAAAGAAUAGAAGAAUAAGCAUAGGCAACCAUUUUGUUAUUAUGGCAUUUACUGGUAUGCCUACUUGUUUAGGUAAAUGUCUUCACAAAUUCACAUGCAUGAAGUGCCUUUUGUUUUCAUCAUUAUUUUCAUCAUUGAUGCAAAUCUUAACAUCAUUCUAUUCCCAACAUUUACAUGACUAUAUUUGAUUCAGAUGGUGAGGAUAUUUUCUAAAUGUGUUACAGUUAUUGCAAUAGAGGCACAUUUAACAAUUUAUUUAAGGGGGAUGCUAUAUUUGAGUCCCAUUUUUAUUUAACAUUCAGAUAUUUUGUUUAGGUAGUACAUGUACAAUUUGUACAUGAUAUAUAUCCCCAAUUUGAUGGAAAGUUCUAAUUGUUUUACCACCAUUUUAUUCACAUAUACACCUUGCUGGUUAAGCUUAUUCGGUUAGUUUAAGAAUGAUAUAAUCCUAUGUUAAUUCUUGUAACAUUUAGAUAUUUUUAUGUUCCUACAGUAUUUGCAGCAUAUCUAUUCUGCUUGUGAUUAUAUUAUGAUUUGAUCCUUGAUGAAUUAAAGUUUUUGAAGAUGUAA
This is a long non-coding RNA of Strongylocentrotus purpuratus (purple sea urchin), 4127 nucleotides long. RefSeq lists it as uncharacterized. NCBI's taxonomy places the organism in Eukaryota, Metazoa, Echinodermata, Echinoidea, Camarodonta, Strongylocentrotidae. The transcript has 3 exons. The record is from RefSeq and is a predicted model, not a curated record.